CGCGCGGUGGAGCAGCUGGUAGCUCGUUGGGCUCAUAACCCAAAGGCCACAGGUUCGAAUCCUGUCCGCGCAACCG
RNAcentral lists this transfer RNA (76 nucleotides) under Leptospira biflexa. Its description in RNAcentral is "tRNA-Met". It matches the Rfam family "tRNA". From Rfam's summary of the family: Transfer RNA (tRNA) molecules are approximately 80 nucleotides in length. Their secondary structure includes four short double-helical elements and three loops (D, anti-codon, and T loops). Further hydrogen bonds mediate the characteristic L-shaped molecular structure. tRNAs have two regions of fundamental functional importance: the anti-codon, which is responsible for specific mRNA codon recognition, and the 3' end, to which the tRNAs corresponding amino acid is attached (by aminoacyl-tRNA synthetases). tRNAs cope with the degeneracy of the genetic code in two manners: having more than one tRNA (with a specific anti-codon) for a particular amino acid; and 'wobble' base-pairing, i.e. permitting non-standard base-pairing at the 3rd anti-codon position. The record is from RNAcentral. Lineage: Bacteria; Pseudomonadati; Spirochaetota; Leptospiria; Leptospirales; Leptospiraceae. RNAcentral also lists the same sequence under 28 other names.